Molecule: long non-coding RNA, 3689 nt
Organism: Mercenaria mercenaria
Lineage: Eukaryota; Metazoa; Mollusca; Bivalvia; Venerida; Veneridae
Exons: 2
Source: RefSeq, a predicted model, not a curated record
UGCUUGACUCUGAAUUAGAGCUUUCCCAGUAUAAACUUUAUAAAACUUUAACCAAAAAAAAAAAAAAAUAAAUAAAUAAAUAAAUAAAUCAAAAUUAAAAAGGGGCAUAACUCUGUCAAAAUUCAAACCAGAAUUAUGGGGUUUGUUUCUCCUGGUAUAGACUUUGACAGUAAAUAACUAUUUUGAGUUUCAAGUCAAUAACUUUGAUAGUAACAGAGAUAUUUGAAUUAAUCAAAAACUUUUACCAAAUAUUCUAAGUUAGAAAAGGGCAUAACUCUGUCAAAAUUCAAAUCAAAGUUAUGGGGAUUGUUUCUCCCGGUGCAGACUUUGAUAGUAAAUAAGUAUUUUAAGUUUCUAGUCAAUAGCUUUGAUUGUAACAUAUAUUUGACUCUAUCAAAAACUUUAACCAAAAAUUCUAAGUCAAAAAGGGGCAUAACUCCAUCAAAAUUCAAAUUAGAGUUAUGGGGAUUGUUUCUCCUGGUGUAGACUUUGUUUAAUAGUAAUAACUAUUUAAGUUUCAAGUCAAUAGCUUUGAUAGUAACAGAGAUAUUUGACUUUAUCAAAAACUUUAACCAACGGCGACGCCGACGCCGACGCGACGCCGACACCGGGGCGAGUGCAAUAGCUGUACCUUUUCUUUGAAAAGUCGAGCUAAUAAAAUCAAAGAAAACAUUUUAGACUGCUAUCAUUUUCAAUCAUCGCACGCAGAGAAGUAUGUUCACAUUUUUUUUUCUUUUAUGACUUUAAUGUUUAAGUGAAGUAAACAAAACGUGAUUUAAGAAGAAAAUUAAACUUUGCAAUUUUCAAGAAAAAGUGAUGCUGAUGUGCAUAUAUUUUAUUUUGAAAACGCUACAGCUUUCAUUAUUUGAAACUAUAUGAUAGCUUUGAAAAGUGAUAUAUUGAUAAUGUGACUGCAAAAAAGUAAUGUUAAUUUUAUCAUUGUUCUGAUUUUCAAUCAUACAUUCUUAAUUGUGAUUUGCCAUUACAUUAUUUUAUUAUUUUAAUCAUAAGUUUGUUUGUAGUUGUAUUUUAUUUUCAUUAUGUCAUGUUGCACGUAAGUUAUUUUUAUUUUAUACCAUACAUAUACCAUAAUACCUUCUUAUUCGUCCAUUUAUUCGUUACAGAACACAGAAGUAUGCGUCUUGAAACAGUGUUUUUCGCACUUGCUGUGGUAUCUUUGACCACUGUCACUGAAGGACACCCUAGGUGGAGACACAACAAGCUUACUUGGUGCCAAAGCAUAACCCCAGAACCAACAGAACGAAUUGUACAGAUGAGAACUCUGGUUGGAUCUUGCAGGGCCGACGUUGGCACACGUCCAGUGGGUUCCUGUUCAACUAAAACUAAAUAUUUCAAUUUUUGUUCUGAUGACGGCUACGUGUGCCCCGAAACAGAGACAUGAACUGCAGACUGUGGCUUUUUACGAGUAUGUCAAACAAUGUGGAUGUUGUAAGGACAAUGGUGUCGUUGUGACAGGUGUUGUUAAAGAUGCAGACACCAAUGAACCACUAAGUAAAAUAAUUGUUUAUUUUGACGGCAGAUUCGUUGACUACACUGGAGAAGAUGGUCGGUUAAAAUCAACCACAAAGUCGAGUGUACGAUCUAUUUUGGUAACGAAAAAGGACAGGAGUAGAAAUUACAUGGCUGCUGUCAAAAUUGGUGAUAUACCGGAAGGUUUUAGAGGCCCAGUAGAAGUUGAACUAUAAGUUACUCAAAAAUCUAAACCAGUGGAAAUUGACUCAACGGUUGAUACAGUGCUUUCUCUUUCAAAUGAUCCACUAGACCCAAAUGCUGGUAAUGCUGUUAUUGAAAUUCAAGCCAAUUCGUUUACUGACCGCCAGGGUAGACCUUACAACGGAAAAUUAAAUGCCCGCGUUACAUAUAUUGACACCGUCGGCAGCCCAGACGCAGUUGCCCCUGGUCGAUUCCAAACCUUAGAUGGAGAUACGAUAGAACCUCUCAUCACCGACGGAGUUGCUUCAUUUAAUUUUGAAAGCACUGGCGGAACAUUUAUCAAACUCUUUGCGCCCGUGAAAUGCACCGGAAGAGAAGGUAUGAAAGUUUAGGAACUAAAUACGAGAACAGGUUUAUGGGAACCUGCAAGGGUUGUUCAGGGUAGAAGGAAACAUCAGGCUACUCUUGAUGACAUAAUCAACAUUGAAAGCGAUCGUUGGUGCCCCUAUGUGCUACUUCAAAAGUAGAAUCUUAAACGAAACUAGUGGAGACGAGAUAACGAUAAGUAUUACUACGUCAUUUAGACCAGAAAUAACUGCCUAUACUUCUACUGGACAACGUCUCCGAUUGUAAGCUGACUUUACAAGCGAACCCAGUACUUCCUGCUACGAAGUAAGAUGUCCUGUUGUCAACAUUCCAAAUAAUUCUUUGGCUGGGUUCAUUAACAUGUCUGCUACAGAAAUUGUUUCUUUUGGAGGGAUAAAUUUACCGUCCAAAAUUUACCUUACUCCGAGAGAAUUCGUUAAUUAUGAUGCCGUGAUAAAACCGAGACUGUCUGCCGUGCAAUAUGAGAUUGCACCAAAUGACGUAGACGUUUUCGUUAACUUUGUUUCCGAUACUGCUGGGCCAUUUUAUAGGAACAGAAAUGCUUGCGAAAGCUCGAGCGUGACACAGCCUGCAUUGCAUUUCUUAAAACCAGAACCGCCGAACUACGAACCUGCUCCAGAUGUUGAUGAAAUUUGUACUCCAAGGAUGGCUUUCAAGGAGAAAGGAAACCUUUUUUAUUACGCAUCAAAUUUAAAAAACUUACCAAAUGUAACGGGAAUCAGCGUAUGGGAAGAGAAUGGCUCAAAAUCGUACUUUAUCGAUGAUGCUCGAAUGGAAUUUUCUACGGGUGGGAAUGAAACAUUUAUAUUUAUAUGUCUAAAAUACUGAUGUAGUCAAGGCAACGAAUCUACAACAGUUUACCUGGAUAUAGAUAUCCCUACAGUUAACGUAACGUACAAUCGCACGUAUCCGAACGGUUCUGUCGUCAGCUUUACCUACCUAGGUCGACAAGAGUUUGAUUGCUAUGGAAAAAGUGCUGGAGGAUCUGAAUUUUCUGAACAGGAAGGCUGUGAUAAUGUAGCAGCUAUUGAAGGAUCAUUAAUUGCCCCAGAAGACGUUACAUCAGGACCAGACUUCUACGACUCGGAGACGAACGACUGCACACAAGGGUCGGACCCUGAAACAUUUGCGUAUGUGUUUUAUUGCUAUAGCAGGAGCAAGCAAAGGUGUCAAGCGUCUUAAAUAUUUAAAACAUUUACAAGAUCAACCGAUUAACAAUUUUCCAGCGUUAUUGUGAAUCUUAAAAAGAAAGUUUAAUGCUAUUUUCGUGAUAUAUCUUUAGCAGCUAAAGAUCUGUUACUAAGGAAUUUUAAAUACUUUUGCAUUUUAACAUACCAUCUUGCAGUAAUUACGAAUCUCAUAAAAAAGAUUUUAUUGAAAUAGAUGUUUGCAACAACGAUGCUGCUCAUACAACGGCUUGUUACACAUUUUUUUAAUUUAAUGUCUGUUUUUACUUUACAUGUCUCGAGCAGUAUAAUCCUUUCAAUUUUUACUUAGUGUUUAUUGACGUCUUAAUAAGAAUUUAGAUUUGAUAAAUGUCAUGAAGGUACAAAUUUUAAUUUCAGGAAUAAAAUAAACGAACUCACGUUGCACUUUAGGAAAAUGUUUACUAAUAAAAUUUAAGUAUA